RNAcentral lists this unclassified non-coding RNA (3423 nucleotides) under Hevea brasiliensis (rubber tree). Lineage: Eukaryota; Viridiplantae; Streptophyta; Magnoliopsida; Malpighiales; Euphorbiaceae. The record is from RNAcentral.
CAAAAUCAUAAGAACGAAGAUACGUUAACACAACAAGACGCUCCCCAUAAAAAUACAGUAAACGAGAUACAAGAUAUGCAUUUAACUUUAGGCAUAAAUUAAUACGAUAAGAUUGAAGUAGUUAAACAACAAGAUUUGAUUUUCAUAGCCAAUCUUGUUCUUGCAGCUUCAAUGGCAAAUAUACUUCGGACAGAUACUGAAAUCCAAACGAACUCAACGCCUGAAUCUCAGCCUUUUGCUUAGUCUUCACCAUCAAAUUCAACUCCUCAACCCACGCGGGAUUCUUCUUCACAAAGUCCUCCUCCAACAAAUCUUUCCCAGUCUUAAUAUCCUGUUCAGUCAUUGGCAACCUACAUUGCUCCGGUAUCUUAUACUUGUCCAAAUCACUCGGUCUAAUACCCAACCACUUGAUAUCCGGGGUAGUCAGAUUCGCACUAUCAUAUGACAUAUUCUUCGAUCCACAUCCGUACACUGACAAAAUCUUCAACCCAUAAGGAUCACUAUCCACCAAUGCCAAAACCGGCAAAUUCAGCUCCAUCUUCAUCUUCCUCAGAAACAACCUAGUUGCCACAUCCGGUUGACCCUUUGCAGUCACGAUUAUACAAGGAAAUCUAUUGUAAAACCGAUCUUCAGACAAUCUCAUAAACGCAGCAUCCUUUUCGACUAACAAUAUGUACAAUGCAUCACUCUGCAUAUCACCAACUCUAUCGAUAUUCGGAGGUAUAGCUUUCCCUCCCAUUCCCAUUUUCGUACAAUCAAUCAUAUCGCCAUUGUCACUAAAAAUCAACCUUCCAACUACAACUCCUUUCUCAGCUGCAACCACAUUCAAACUAGACCUAGUACAUCCAACUAUACACGAAACAUCAUCUAAUACAGCAUCAGACUGCGUCUGAUCCUGAAACAACUUAACGUCGGUGUAGAAAAGAUCACGCUUUGUGACAUGAAUGUUACUGGUGCAAAGCUGAUGAACAAGCUGAAGGAUUCUAAGAGUAAUUGUUGCUUUACGAACAGUAGAUACAUUACCGAAGUUGCGAGCCGAUGAUUUGUCUUUGAGAACAAUGCGGUCGAGUUCGGAGACAUAGAGUUGGUUAGCGGCAGCGCGGGAAGGGACGGAGAAAGAGAAACCUUCACCGGAGAGUAUGGAUUUAGCUAUAGUAAACGCUAACGAUUCAAUUUCGGACUGUACCUCAUCGAUUGGGAGGUCGGCGACUUCACGGCAGGUAGAGGAGAGGCCGACGUCGGAGAGGGAUAGGGUUUUGGAAGUGGUGGAACAGGAGGAUUUGAGUGCUUUUAGGGUUUGGAGGAUGACGGAGUCGGGUUUGAGCUUGGAUUGGAAAGGCCGGCUUUCGGAGUCGGAAUCGGAGUCGUGAGCUGCUCGCCGGCGUUUCUUCUUGUCGGCCAUCGGCGACGGGGAUUAGGUGAAGCGGGAAAUGACAAUAAAUGUGAGGAUAAGAGUGAAGCUGUAAUAAUCACGCGUCUCCUUGUUCCGAACAAUUUGGUUGGAUGCCUUUUAGGAAGAAAAGGCGAUGUUAUUCAGAAAUUGCGAAGUGAGACUGGGGCUAGCAUUCGUGUCCUUUCUGCUGAGCAUUUGCCCGCUUGUGCUAUGACCACUGAUGAAUUGGUCCAAAUCUCAGGCAAACCUGCUUUAGUGAAAAAAGCCUUGUAUGAAGUAUCAACUCUGUUGCAUCAGAAUCCUCGAAAAGACAAACCUAUCUCGAGUUUUCCUAUGGUACAUGGUGCUCAAGGUUUUCACCCCCCUGGUCCUCCCAUGGAAAAUAUGAUUCCUCCAGGAAAACCAAUGUGGUCUCAAAGUAAAACUAAUUUAAAUGGUAUGCCGCCUGCAUUAGGGGUGGGAGGCUAUAGGAACCAGCUUACUGGAUUUGGCCGUGCAGAUUUUGAUUAUGGUCCUCCCCCUAGUGCUGGUGAAGCUCCAGGUGAUUUCACCAUGAAAAUUCUGUGCUCAGCUGCAAAAAUUGGUGGUGUUAUAGGCAAGGGAGGCUUCAAUGUAAAACAACUGCAGCAGGAAACAGGAGCAGGUAUACAUGUUGAGGAUGUCGCACCUGAAUCUGAUGAAAGAGUUAUUCGUGUCUCCUCUUUGGAGUCUUUUUGGGAUCCCAGAUCACGAACUAUUGAUGCCAUUCUCCAACUUCAAAGUAAAACAAGUGAAUUUUCUGACAAAGGAAUUGUCACUACGAGGCUUCUUUUCCCCUCAAAUAAGGUUGGCUGCAUUAUUGGACAAGGAGGACAGGUUAUCAAUGAGAUGAGAAGGAGAACACAGGCGGAUAUUCGUGUUCUUUCCAAGGACGAAAAACCCAGAUGCGCAUCUGCAGAUGAAGAGCUUGUGCAGAUAUCUGGAAGCAUCGGUGUUGCAAAAGAUGCCUUGGUUGAGAUUUCUUCAAGGCUCAGAGAAAGAUGCCUUAGGGAUGCAAAUAGUAAAGUGGAGUCUACUCAUGUUAGGCCACUUCCUGGAUUUGUUCCAUCAGAGGAUUUUCGAAGUCGAGACCCACAACGUUCAGGUGUGAUGGGGGCUGGUAGCUCUAGAAGAUAUGAACAUUUGAAGGGUGCUGUUCGUGAAUGUGACCAUCCAAGUUAUCCAGAUCUUCCCAUUGCCACUAGAUUCUCAAAUACCCGUAGUCCCCCAGAGAUGAAGUUUCCAGACCAUUCUUAUGGUACUGCAAAAGGAACAGGAGGGUACAACAUUGAUGAGUUUGCUGGAAGUAGUGCAAGAUAUCAGGAUCCUCGUUCUAUUGGACCUGGAUUCGUUGAUGAUAUUCGGGGCACUUCAGAUCGUAUGAAUGCUGGGCACAAUGUUUUUCAUGGGUCCUCCGAGAACUUGAAUGCUGGGCGGCCUACUUUCCAAGGAUACGGUUCUCCUGCUGGACAGAGCAGUAAUAUUCAUCAAGGCGCUUACCACCAGAAUUAUGCUGCUCAACAAAGUGCUUAUCAAAGUUAUCCAGCUAAAGGUGGUUACCCUAGUGGUAGUCCUUCCCAAUUGCCUUACCAGAACCCUAAUCCUCAUCAAGCUCCAUAUCAAAACAUCAACUCGCAGCAGCACCAACACCAGCAGGCGCCACCACCAUACCAGAAUAUGGCUGCACAAGGCUCCUACCAUUAUUGAUUCUCAAUACUGAGUUACUCAAAGUACCUAUGGCGGGUUUUAGUCACUUUUGUACAAUAAUUUUAAUCUCGUGUUUUGCUAUAGUUGUUGCUGAAGUGUCAGUCAUAGUGAUCUAACUUGUCGCAUUUGAUGGUUAAGAGUAUCGUUGAACACAGGUGAAGUAGUUACUGUUUGGCAAUAUUUUCAGAGACCUCGCCUUAGGUUUUUCCUGCAGCAUUCAACUUCCUUGUGGUUUUUAAGGUGUUGCAGUUAACUGCCUAAUUUGAUUUCUUUGUAAUGAGAUUGUUUUCAAAAGACAAGAAUAU